AACCGGAGCAGAACCACAGGGAUUGCCUCAGUAAUGGCGAAUGAAGCGGCAACAGCUCAAAUUUGAAAGCUGGCCUGCGAAGGGUCCGCGUUGUAAUUUGUAGAGGAUGCUUCGAGUGUGGCGCCGGUCUAAGUUCUUUGGAACAAGACGUCAUAGAGGGUGAGAAUCCCGUAUGUGACUGGUUGCUUGCGCCCGUGUGAAGCUCCUUCGACGAGUCGAGUUGUUUGGGAAUGCAGCUCUAAAUGGGUGGUAAAUUUCAUCUAAGGCUAAAUAUUGGCCGGAGACCGAUAGCGCACAAGUAGAGUGAUCGAAAGAUGAAAAGCACUUUGGAAAGAGAGUUAAACAGUACGUGAAAUUGUUGAAAGGGAAGCGCUUGCAAUGAGACUUGCGCGGCGUCGAUCAGCCUGGGUUCUCCCUGGUGCACUCGGCGCCGCUCAGGCCAGCAUCGGUUUCGACGGUGGGAUAAAGGCCUAGGGAACGUGGGUGGCCUCGGCCACCGUUAUAGACCUAGGUGCCAUGCCGCCUGUCGGGACUGAGGACCGCGCUUCGGCUAGGAUGCUGGCGUAAUGGUUGUAAGCGACCCGUCUUGAAACACGGACCAAGGAGUUGACCAACUGUGCGAGUGUUUGGGUGUCAAACCCAUGCGCGUAAUGAAAGUGAACGGAGGUGAGAACCCUUGAGGGUGCAUCAUCGACCGAUCCUGAUGUCUUCGGAUGGAUUUGAGUAAGAGCAUAGCUGGUCUGACCCGAAAGAUGGUGAACUAUACUUGGAUAGGGUGAAGCCAGAGGAAACUCUGGUGGAGGCUCGCAGCGGUUCUGACGUGCAAAUCGAUCGACAAAUCUGAGUAUAGGGGCGAAAGACUAAUCGAACCAUUGAAUUCCUAGCUUCUAGGUGGUUGGGAGGCCUGAGACACGGCCUAGUCUCCCCGGCGGGAGGCAAUACUGCAAAAUUGCGGGGACCGUUCGACAGAUGCAGGCUACCACAGCGGGCUCGAAAGGCCCCGCCACGGUUACAAGGCCGGCAGCUGAACCGAUCCGCAGCCAGCUCCUUUCGCCUGGAGCAGGUUCAUCGACUAGACGGCAGUAGGUGGCGCUGGGUACUAUACUGGCUUCGUCUAAGGUAUAGUCAGACCGCGGCAGGAAUGCUGCGGGUGAUCCGCAUGUCGGC
Molecule: ribosomal RNA, 1167 nt
Filed under: Lirula yunnanensis
Lineage: Eukaryota; Fungi; Ascomycota; Leotiomycetes; Rhytismatales; Rhytismataceae
Description: eukaryotic LSU rRNA
Rfam family: Eukaryotic large subunit ribosomal RNA
Source: RNAcentral